GUCGCCCAGGCUGGAGUGCAAUGGCACAAUCUUGGCUCACCACAACCUUCCGCCUCCUGGCUUCAAGCGAUUCUCCUGCCUCAGCCUCCUGAGUAGCUGGGACUAUAGGCAUGCACCACCAUGCCCGGCUAAUUUUGUAUUUUUAGUAGAGAUGGGGUUUCUGCAUGUUGGUCAGACUGGUCUUGAACUCCCAACCUCAGGUGAUCCGCCUGCCUCGGCCUCCCAAAGUGCUGGGAUUACAGGAGUGAGCCACCACGCCUGGCCU
RNAcentral lists this long non-coding RNA (265 nucleotides) under Homo sapiens (human). RNAcentral's name for it is "long non-coding RNA NONHSAT116674.2". The record is from RNAcentral. Lineage: Eukaryota; Metazoa; Chordata; Mammalia; Primates; Hominidae.